CAGCCGCCGCGGUAAUACGAAGGGGGCUAGCGUUGUUCGGAAUCACUGGGCGUAAAGAGCACGUAGGCGGAUCUUUAAGUCAGAGGUGAAAUCCCGAGGCUCAACCUCGGAACUGCCUUUGAUACUGGGGAUCUCGAGUCCGGGAGAGGUGAGUGGAACUGCGAGUGUAGAAGUGAAAUUCGUAGAUAUUCGGAAGAACACCAGUGGCGAAGGCGACACACUGGCUCAUUACUGACGCUGAGGCUCGAAAGCGUGGGGAGCAAACAGGAUUAGAUACCCCUGUAGUCCCUGUCUCUUAUAC
RNAcentral lists this ribosomal RNA (301 nucleotides) under uncultured bacterium. RNAcentral describes it as "partial 16S ribosomal RNA". It matches the Rfam family "Bacterial small subunit ribosomal RNA", at positions 509 to 807 of the family's 1533-position model. The record is from RNAcentral.